GUAAGUAGAGAUGUUGCUGACACAUCCCGGCCAAUCUCCAGCAGACCCUCCCUCCCAGACCCUCCUACUUCCUGGACAGCAUCCAUGUUGAAGGCAGCUCUCUGCUGGAGAUUGGCCGGGAUGUGUCAGCUGACCGG
Molecule: non-coding RNA, 137 nt
Organism: Pelobates cultripes (western spadefoot toad)
Lineage: Eukaryota; Metazoa; Chordata; Amphibia; Anura; Pelobatidae
Source: the annotation of a GenBank genome assembly